CCAUGAAUUUUCAGCAAGAUUUCGAUCUGUACCAAGGCGAAAUGCUUGGAGUGGUCUAAUUCCAAGUGAGUAUACUUUCAUGGUGGAGUAUGAUAGUUCUCUGAACUAUGAUUGUCGGUAUAGACAAUGGCAGCAAAGAAUUGUCAGUGUUAACUAUGGAAGCUGGAGAUGUGUGACUAUUUCAAUCAAGGUGGAGAUUGUCACAUAUCUUCAGC
This is a non-coding RNA of Arachis ipaensis, 215 nucleotides long. The record is from RefSeq and is a predicted model, not a curated record. Lineage: Eukaryota; Viridiplantae; Streptophyta; Magnoliopsida; Fabales; Fabaceae.